This is a long non-coding RNA of Branchiostoma belcheri (Belcher's lancelet), 539 nucleotides long. RefSeq lists it as uncharacterized. The record is from RefSeq and is a predicted model, not a curated record. The transcript is spliced from 3 exons. NCBI's taxonomy places the organism in Eukaryota, Metazoa, Chordata, Leptocardii, Amphioxiformes, Branchiostomatidae.
UGCCAGGUCCACACAGAGGUGCGUAACCUGAGCCACAACAGCUGCGAGGCGAAAAACAUCCAGGUCAGCUUCUGCUCUGGGAAGUGCAAAUCUUACACACAGAUCAACGUCAUGCAGCCUUACUACCAGACGGUGUGUGAGUGCUGUACCUUCACGCUGGACUCCCUGCAGCCUGUUCGCUUCGUGGAGCUUGACUGUGGGAACGGGGAGAGGGAGACGACAGUUCUGCCCAGGAUCGAGCGCUGUGACUGUGUCGCUUGUGCCGGUGGAGACUAGAAUCAGACUGAAACUGACUGAAGACGGAUUGGAAUGGCAGCAGUCCUGGUCAGCAGUAAGAACUGGACAGGUGGACAAAAUGACGGCACGGCUAAAACAUUUCAUUCUAACUUCAUCUGUGUUGACAGUUAACACGAUAGUACAGAAUUAAAACUGUUUUGACCAAUUGUUGACAUCUUGUUUCCAGUAAGUCAUAAGACCUUUGAAGAUUGUUAGUCACUUUGAUUUUGAAGAAGAGGACAGUUGAAAACUCAACACAUUAA